CGGUUGAUCCUGCCGGACCCGACUGCUAUUUGGGUGAGGCCUAAGCCAUGCGAGUCGAAUGGGAUGCCGGUGUUUCCCAUGGCUCCCCCUCAGUCACACAUGAUCAACUUACCCUAUAGAGAAAAAUAACCUCGGGAAACUGAGGAUAAUGUUUCAUAGGUGAAAAGGCUUGAAAGUUUUUCAACAAAAGAAUAAAAAAAAUGGUUUUUAUUCGCUAUAGGAUAGGAUCGUGGUCGAUUAUGGUUGUUGGUGAGAUAACGGCUCACCAAGCCGAUAAUCGAUAGGGGCCGUGAGAGCGGGAGCCCCGAGAUGGGUACUGAGACACCGACCCAGGCCUUACGAGGCGCAGCAGGCGCGAAACCUCCGCAAUACACGAAAGUGUGACGGGGUUACCCAAAGUGUUCAAUUAUGAACUGUGGUAGGUGAGUAAUGUCCCCUACUAGAAAGGAGAGGGCAAGGCUGGUGCCAGCCGCCGCGGUAAAACCAGCUCUUCAAGUGGUCGGGAUAAUUAUUGGGCUUAAAGUGUCCGUAGCUGGUUUAGUAAGUUCCUGGUAAAAUCAGGUAGCUUAACUAUCUGUAUGCUAGGAAUACUGCUAUACUAGAGGGCGGGAGAGGUCUGAGGUACUACAGGGGUAGGGGUGAAAUCUUAUAAUCCUUGUAGGACCACCAGUGGCGAAGGCGUCAGACUGGAACGCGCCUGACAGUGAGGGACGAAAGCCAGGGGAGCGAACCGGAUUAGAUACCCGGGUAGUCCUGGCCGUAAACGAUGCAUACUAGGUGAUGGUACGGCCAUGAGCCGUAUCAGUGCCGUAGGGAAACCGUUAAGUGUGCCGCCUGGGAAGUACGGUCGCAAGGCUAAAACUUAAAGGAAUUGGCGGGGGAGCAC
This 886-nucleotide ribosomal RNA is filed under the name uncultured archaeon. Its description in RNAcentral is "bacterial SSU rRNA". It matches the Rfam family "Archaeal small subunit ribosomal RNA", at positions 5 to 879 of the family's 1478-position model. The record is from RNAcentral.